This 504-nucleotide ribosomal RNA is filed under the name Bacillus sp. F5-16. Its description in RNAcentral is "bacterial SSU rRNA". It matches the Rfam family "Bacterial small subunit ribosomal RNA", at positions 9 to 494 of the family's 1533-position model. The record is from RNAcentral. Lineage: Bacteria; Bacillati; Bacillota; Bacilli; Caryophanales; Bacillaceae.
GAGUUUGAUCCUGGCUCAGGACGAACGCUGGCGGCGUGCCUAAUACAUGCAAGUCGAGCGGACUUCUUAAAAGCUUGCUUUUAAGAAGUCAGCGGCGGACGGGUGAGUAACACGUGGGCAACCUGCCUGUAAGACUGGGAUAACUUCGGGAAACCGGAGCUAAUACCGGAUAAUAUAAGGAACCUCCUGGUUCUUUAUUGAAAGAUGGUUUCGGCUAUCACUUACAGAUGGGCCCGCGGCGCAUUAGCUAGUUGGUGAGGUAAUGGCUCACCAAGGCGACGAUGCGUAGCCGACCUGAGAGGGUGAUCGGCCACACUGGGACUGAGACACGGCCCAGACUCCUACGGGAGGCAGCAGUAGGGAAUCUUCCACAAUGGACGAAAGUCUGAUGGAGCAACGCCGCGUGAGCGAUGAAGGCCUUCGGGUCGUAAAGCUCUGUUGUUAGGGAAGAACAAGUGCGAGAGUAACUGCUCGCACCUUGACGGUACCUAACCAGAAAGCCAC